RNAcentral lists this ribosomal RNA (231 nucleotides) under uncultured Candidatus Saccharibacteria bacterium. RNAcentral's name for it is "partial 16S ribosomal RNA". It matches the Rfam family "Bacterial small subunit ribosomal RNA", at positions 588 to 818 of the family's 1533-position model. Lineage: Bacteria; Candidatus Saccharimonadota. The record is from RNAcentral.
CAAUAUAUAAAAGCGUGUGGCUUAACCAUACAAGCGUAUAUUGAACUGAACAACUAGAGUAUAGAAGAGGUCACCGGAAUUUCUAGUGGAGGAGUGAAAUCCGUAGAUAUUAGAAGGAACACCGAAGGCGUAGGCAGGUGACUGGUCUAUUACUGACGCUGAGGUACGAAAGCGUGGGGAGCGAACGGGAUUAGAUACCCCGGUAGUCCACGCCGUAAACGAUGGAUGCUA